CGUGGCUUGGCUUGCUGGGAGAGAAGAGGCCAUGAGCCAGGAGAAGGCAGCACUAGAGGAAAGUCAGGAUGAAUAUGGGACAAAAUGAGUGUAAAAAUGGAGCCCCCAGAGAAGGGGUCUGAGCAUUGGAUAUAGAAUCUAAAAAGGAAUGAGGCUAAUCUGGAGCAUUUUAUAAGAUCCACCAGCUUCAGUUCCUGCACAGAGGAACGGGAGAUACAAUUUUGAAGAUGCUGAGAUAAAGGAUUUCUGAGUGGGUUGCAUUAUAAGGGCUGUUAAGAGAGACUAUAAGGGCUGAUAAGGGAGACGAUAAGGGAGAAUGGGUCAGGCAAACAGGCUCCAGCCUCCUUGAGAUACAAGAUAGAGCUUCUCUUAGGGAAUAGCGCUUGGGUUAGGCUUUCACUGGAGGGUACCUUGGGAGUGCCUGGCUAUCCCUCUGCCAGCCAGAGGCAGUGAAUUCAUUUUACUCUUGCUGUGGGGCAUACUGUUAGGCUACUGCUGCCAGGUUUCUCACUGGUUCUAAAGUAGGAUUGUGGCAGGGGUAUUCAUGCUAAACAGCUGAGAUAGGGCUCGGGUAUUAUGGGAACUGACUAGCUCAAAUAAGAGUCUUGGAAUAUUUUGGAGUGAGGGAGGCUUCCAUGACUUCUGAUUUAUGAGGUCCUCUAAGUUGUGAUCUUCAAGGAAGGGAAGAUGCUUUUGUGAUAUAUCCCAGCAUGCUGAUGACCCCAAGGAGGACCACUGGAUACCUAGCAAGGAAAAAGAAGAACUGAUUGAAGAGUGGCAACCAGAACCUCUUGUUCCUCCUGUCCCAAAAGACCAUCCUGCUCUCAACUACAACAUCGUUUCAGGUUCCUCUGGCAGCCCUCCUCAAGGACCUCUGUGAGACAAAGUCAGAAAUGACUUCACUGGAGACCAAGAGAGCCCACAGAGCUCUUCCUGCUGCUUCUUCUACCCUUGUACUCACUCGGCUCUCUAAAUUUGUCUCAGCUCCAGGGACACAAAAUGGGGGAAACAUGUUGUUUCUGCUUCUGCAAGGAACCAGACUGCCAUCUCUAAUGCAUGCAUCACAGGUACCCAGUAGGGGCAGUCAAACAGCAAAAGCUACACAAUGAUGGGCCACGGGAGCAAGG
RNAcentral lists this long non-coding RNA (1127 nucleotides) under Homo sapiens (human). RNAcentral describes it as "HSALNT0150936". The record is from RNAcentral. Lineage: Eukaryota; Metazoa; Chordata; Mammalia; Primates; Hominidae.